GAUUGAACUACGAAAGACGAACGGACC
This 27-nucleotide non-coding RNA is filed under the name Bombyx mori (domestic silkworm). Lineage: Eukaryota; Metazoa; Arthropoda; Insecta; Lepidoptera; Bombycidae. The record is from RNAcentral.